AGCGGGGUAGGGCAGCCAGGUCUAGCCCGCCGGGCUCAUAACCCGGAGGUCGUUGGUUCAAAUCCAACCCCCGCUA
RNAcentral lists this transfer RNA (76 nucleotides) under Candidatus Bathyarchaeota archaeon. RNAcentral's name for it is "tRNA-Met". It matches the Rfam family "tRNA". From Rfam's summary of the family: Transfer RNA (tRNA) molecules are approximately 80 nucleotides in length. Their secondary structure includes four short double-helical elements and three loops (D, anti-codon, and T loops). The record is from RNAcentral. Lineage: Archaea; Thermoproteati; Candidatus Bathyarchaeota.